UACGUAGGUCCCGAGCGUUGUCCGGAUUUAUUGGGCGUAAAGCGAGCGCAGGUGGUUUAUUAAGUCUGGUGUAAGAGGCAGUGGCUCAACCAUUGUAUGCAUUGGAAACUGGUGGACUUGAGUGCAGGAGAGGAGAGUGGAAUUCCAUGUGUAGCGGUGAAAUGCGUAGAUAUAUGGAGGAACACCGGUGGCGAAAGCGGCUCUCUGGCCUGUAACUGACACUGAGGCUCGAAAGCGUGGGGAGCAAACAGG
Molecule: ribosomal RNA, 252 nt
Filed under: uncultured bacterium
Lineage: Bacteria
Description: partial 16S ribosomal RNA
Rfam family: Bacterial small subunit ribosomal RNA
Source: RNAcentral